GCCACGCUAUUUGAUGGGCUAGAAGUUGGUUGGAUGACGUAGAAGAUUGUGGUUGGUCCAGAAAAAUUAUGGAAGCAGUUUUUGUGGGAAUAGGUUUCAUGGGAUUCUAGUUCUUCAGAGAAAAUAUGGACAAAUUUUACGAAGCAAUCUUUUUGUACUUCUCAAAGGGAACUUAAGACAGCUGGAAUAGGUUUCAUGGGAUUCUAGUUCUUCGGAGAAAAUAUGGACAAAUUUUAUGAAGCAAUCUUUUUGUACUUCUCAAAGGGAACUUAAGACAGCUGGACUCCCACCUCUUUUAGGUUUCCAAAGGAUAUGUGGAAUAAAAGCAAAACCAUCUAUUGAUAAACAGAGAUCCUGCA
Molecule: non-coding RNA, 359 nt
Organism: Xyrichtys novacula (pearly razorfish)
Lineage: Eukaryota; Metazoa; Chordata; Actinopteri; Labriformes; Labridae
Source: the annotation of a GenBank genome assembly